Molecule: ribosomal RNA, 253 nt
Filed under: uncultured bacterium
Lineage: Bacteria
Description: partial 16S ribosomal RNA
Rfam family: Bacterial small subunit ribosomal RNA
Source: RNAcentral
UACAGAGGGGGCAAGCGUUGUUCGGAAUUACUGGGCGUAAAGGGCGCGUAGGCGGCCUGUUAAGUCGAACGUGAAAUCCCCGGGCUCAACCCGGGAACUGCGUCCGAUACUGGCAGGCUUGAAUCCGGGAGCGGGAUGCGGAAUUCCAGGUGUAGCGGUGAAAUGCGUAGAUAUCUGGAGGAACACCGGUGGCGAAGGCGGCAUCCUGGACCGGUAUUGACGCUGAGGCGCGAAAGCCAGGGGAGCAAACGGG